Molecule: long non-coding RNA, 1613 nt
Organism: Sinocyclocheilus grahami
Lineage: Eukaryota; Metazoa; Chordata; Actinopteri; Cypriniformes; Cyprinidae
Exons: 2
Source: RefSeq, a predicted model, not a curated record
ACGAGGCUUAAAGAUACCGAACCUAAAGGCACAGUGAUACGUUCACAACCUGAUUGGUCGGGUUGAAUGACGUAUAUUUCACGACGGAACUCACCGAAUACCCCAAACAAAAGCUGUGUUCGACUUAAAGCGGCGCUGCGCAGACCGAUCGGUGUAUGACAUCAAAGUACCCAUUCACUGAUCGGUAUGCGCAGCACCGCUUUAAGCCGAACACACACAAUGCUGUCUGCUGGACUAAGCGCGCUCAUUGCUGCGUGUACUUUAUUUUCACCACCUGCAAACUUUUGGAUACACCGCUCGUCCCGCAUCGUUAAAUCAUGUCACAUAGCAUCGCAUCUUGUCAUUACUUCCUGUUUUUGGUUCGUUUAGAACGGACCGAGACCCAUCUUUUUUAGCGGUCUCUGUCCGCUUGUUUGGUGUGCACCAGGGUUCGGAUGGCAGCGUUCACAUUUACUCAAACGAACCGCACUAACAGAGCAAUUGCACCAGGGUUCGUUUUAAUCGAACCAAACAUGACAAGUGUGAACACACCCUUAGACUCUUUAUGGUACACCAGGCUUAGUAAUGAUAUUUUUUUUUACAGAGUUGCAUAACUCUCGUGUCUGUUGUGAAGUGUUUUAUAUACAAAUGUUUCUCAAAAGCAUUUUAAUCAGUGCAAUCAAUGGACAAACCUACGUAUUAGUAUCAGAAAUUCACUGAAUGUCCUGUCAACCAAGCUAAAGGGUGUAAAACUAUUAUUUUAAUGGUGCUGCUUAUGCUAAGUGUUAGCUUCCACAAAUUAUUUUCAUUGUACUACAUCCAACUCAUUUUUGCUGCCUUUUCAGCCAAGUCAACAGUAGGAAAAAAUGUGUUCCUUUUUUUAUUUUGUUCAUAAAAUGUGCUUAAUUUUCAUUUAUCUGACAAGACCUGACAAUUUAAAGCAUCAUUAGUACAGUGCAGCACUGUUUACUUUGAUUAUAUUGAAUGUUGUGCAUUGUUCAUUUAACAACUUAAUGUCUUAAGUUGGGGUUACAUUAGCGAAGUGUCAAUGAAAAACUGUUAGCGAUGCAUGAAGUGUAGCUCACAAAGAAUUCCCUUUCAAACCAGGCAACUCUCUGUUGGUUAAUGGAGUGAAUCUGCAUAAUCAGUUUGAACUCUUGCCUGGGGAAAUCUUUUGCCCUCUCGCGAAGCUCCCAGUCACUUGGAUUUGUAUAGAAAUUACUGGACUUUACCCAUAAAAAAUUUGCCAAACCGUAAAUGUGAUCACACCUUUAAUGCAGUUGGUCUCGAAAGUUGUCAGCUGCUCUAAAUUUCUGAAAGGUGCAGUACAUAAGAAGCAUGGCCUAUGAACAAGAAAUAAGGUGUUUUUUGUUUUUCUCCAGUCACCUUAAUUUUGCUCAAUAUUGCUUACACGUGUGAAUGUUCUACUUGCUUCAUUGCAAAACGUUGACAACAUAACUAUGAGUACUUUUUCUUUAAUCAGAUGGACUAAUAUAUGCAAGUUAAUCUGAUAAUUGUAUUGACACUGGAAAUCUGACAAUCCUUUUUUUUUCAUAUAAUGUUCUUUAUUUCAUCACAAUAUACAGUGCCCAAAUGAGUUGAUAUUUGUCUUUUAUAAAUUAUUGUUGAAUUCA